GAUGAACGCUGGCGGCGUGCUUAACACAUGCAAGUCGAACGGAAAGGCUCCUGCUUGCAGGGGUACUCGAGUGGCGAACGGGUGAGUAACACGUGGGUGAUCUGCCCUGCACUUCGGGAUAAGCCUGGGAAACUGGGUCUAAUACCGGAUAGGAGGAUGUGUUGGAUGCUAUUGUGGAAAGUUUUUCGGUGUUGGAGGAGAUCGCGGCCUAUCAGCCUGUUGGUUGGGUAGUGGCGUACCAACGCGUCGACGGGUAGCCGGCCUGAGAGGGUGUACGGCCACAUUGGGACUGAGAUACGGCCCAGACUCCUACGGGAGGCAGCAGUGGGGAAUAUUGCACAAUGGGCGCAAGCCUGAUGCAGCGACGCCGCGUGGGGGAUGACGGCCUUCGGGUUGUAAACUCCUUUCGCCAGGGACGAAGCGCGAGUGACGGUACCUGGUGAAGAAGCACCGGCUAACUACGUG
RNAcentral lists this ribosomal RNA (465 nucleotides) under uncultured bacterium. RNAcentral describes it as "partial 16S ribosomal RNA". It matches the Rfam family "Bacterial small subunit ribosomal RNA", at positions 28 to 507 of the family's 1533-position model. The record is from RNAcentral.